This 89-nucleotide unclassified non-coding RNA is filed under the name Pseudomonas sp. A214. Lineage: Bacteria; Pseudomonadati; Pseudomonadota; Gammaproteobacteria; Pseudomonadales; Pseudomonadaceae. The record is from RNAcentral.
UGUGGGAGCGAGCCUGCUCGCGAUAGCGCUGGCUCAGCAGCAUUGAUGUCAACUGACACUCCGCUAUCGCGAGCAGGCUCGCUCCCACA